CUCACGCGAGCAGCCUCCGCCCCGCGCACGCUCCCCUGCGCGCCGCGCCCUGUGGGCCGCCCGCGCGCCUCGCCUCGCGGCCCGGGCCACGUCCAGGCCCGGACCCCGCCGUCUUCUGGGCCGCCGCUGCUGCUCUCUGAAGUGAAAGUGAAAUGAGGAAAAGCAGGCCGAGCGGGCUGUAGGGGAAGGGCGGCUAGCACGUGCGUCCAGCCUUCCACUCCUGCCCCACCGUCCAGGCUUGCCUAACAGAUGGAGCGAGGCUACGGAGACUCCCUGAGGAGGAAGAAAGAGGACAUCCCUCCUGAGUCUUUACAGAGAGCCGGUGGAGGACUCUUGCAGGCUCCUUGAGUGUUCUCUAGUAAGAGGAUCUUAACCCCGGUGGAUCUCUCACUGGGUUUUCUGCUGUGGUUCAGAGCCCUCCAUACGUCCUUUCUCCAUCGGGAAGAGACAAAAAAAAAAAAAAAAAAAAAAAAAAAAGCAAAAGCAAAAGCAAAAGCAACCCUCUGUCCUGCACACACGGCCAGACUUACGAGGCCACAGCUGACAUACAUGCUUGAAGGAGAAAGUGCGCUAUUGUGUCUUGUUUUUCCUUUUGAAUUACGUCCUCCUGAGACCGUGGCUGACCCUUAGGCCUGUGGCCGUCCUGAAUGUGAUUGACAUGCGUGAUUAGCAGGCUAGUGAGAGAGAACCAGGGAAAUUGCUAUCAAAACAAUUACACACAGGGACAUCAGAACAAUGGCCUGAGAGCCGCCAGGGACUUAGAGACCAUCCUAGUUCUGCCACGGAUGCCCUCUGGGGCCGUGGCCAACUCAAAUCAUCUCUUUGUGUCUUCGUUUCCUCCUGAACACCAUUUUUAUUUGAAAAGAACAAGGACAAACUAUGAUUACUCAGACUAAAGUAUGUGGCAGAUAUUUUAUUUAAAAAAAUGGAGUGAGCCUGUUACUUUAAGGCAAACAGCUGACUAUAUUUGUUGACAUUGAUAAAAUGCAUUUUCAAGCAAAAAUCAGAUUUUGGAAAAUUUAUAUUCACUAUCCUGGGCUCAACUUCUUCCUAGCCAGAUUUUCUUCAUAUACUUCAACAAAAGAACACAAGAACAUUGUGAAAGAUUGAAAUAGAAGCUGAUAUUGAAUCCAGUUGUCUUCUAUAAGCCAGACUGUUAAAAGAUUUUACCUACUUAUUUUAGAGAUGGAGAUGUAGACGGAGAAAGAGAGAAUCUCAAGCAGGCUCCACUCCCAGCACAGAGCCUUAUGCUGGACUCGACCUCACGACCCUGAGAUCAUGACCAGAGCCAAAAUCAAGAGUCAGACACUUGACCAACUGGGCCAUCCAGGUGCCCCUUAAUCUAGGUGUGUCUUAAGGGAGAAACAGGAACUAACAUGUUAUGUAGUACUAAUCUCUGUGCUGGAGCCAAUUAAACAAAGUCAAAAGACAGAAUAUUAGGGGAAAAAAGGGCAAUGUGCACAACAGACAAUAAGUCAAUAUGCUUAAUAGACUUCAGAAUUUGGUGUAUUGGUUAGAUCAUCUGAUCUGGAAAAGGUAUCCUGUUUUUUUUUUUAAAGAUUCUAUUUAUUUAUUCAUGAGAGAGAGAGAGAGACAGAGAGACAGAGACACAGAGACACAGGCAGAGGGAGAAGCGGGCUCCAUGCAGGGAGAUCCCAGGUCCAGGAUCACGCCCUGGGCCUAAGGCAGUGCUAAACCACUGAGCCACCUGGGCUGUCCAGGCAUACUGUUUUGAGGGCAAAUUAGGAUUGGAGUGGGUAUUUUGGUGGGUUGAGGAGAAGCAGAAUACAGGAGAGAAUGGGAGAGGGAGAAAGAGAGAGGUACGUAAUGAAUGGAUGAAUGAAUGAUGGCUCCGAGAUGUCUGUGUAGCUCCUAAUCUGGUGCCUCUAAAGCCAACCUUCAGAUGUUCCCCCACUAUGUCUGUUCUCUUUUGCUGGUCUCACACAAAUAUAAACAAACAAAGAGACAAAUCCCUUUCAUACUGUCCAGUUUCAGAGAGUAUGAAUGACCAAGGCCUGAGUAACCUGCUAACUGAAUGAAGACUCCUGAUGUGCCUACUGUCUUUUAAAAAACUUUGUUAGAACUUGUCCUAACAGGGCAGCCCAGGUGGCUCAGCGGUUUAGCUCUGCCUUCAGCCCAGGGCAUGAUCCUGGGGACCCGGGAUCGAGUCCCACAUCGGGCUCCCUGCAUGGAGCCUACUUCUCCCUCUGCCUGUGUCUCUGCCUCUCUCUCGCUCUCUCUGUGUCUCU
Molecule: long non-coding RNA, 2249 nt
Organism: Nyctereutes procyonoides (raccoon dog)
Lineage: Eukaryota; Metazoa; Chordata; Mammalia; Carnivora; Canidae
Exons: 4
Source: RefSeq, a predicted model, not a curated record